This is a non-coding RNA of Ictidomys tridecemlineatus (thirteen-lined ground squirrel), 543 nucleotides long. The record is from RefSeq and is a predicted model, not a curated record. NCBI's taxonomy places the organism in Eukaryota, Metazoa, Chordata, Mammalia, Rodentia, Sciuridae.
CGCCCCCGCCCCGCUGGCGCCCCCGCGGUCCGGCGCGCGCCCCUUACCUUGGCCUGGCAUUUCCGAUGACAGGAGAAGCUGCAGACUGCGGAGGGCAGACAGAAAGAAAGUUUUAGCCGCGAGGACACUCAGCCCGAGGCUGCAGGACACUCCCUCCCCAGGGGCCAUUUCUCACUGGGGCCUGCAGCAGGUGCGGGAAGAACAAGGGCCCCUAGAGUACCCCCAAGCACCUGACGGCUCCUUUGGAAUGCAGUUCGGAUCCUCUGGUCUAUUCCAGCCCCUUCAUUUUAAAGAAAAGGGGGAAAUCGGUUCCCGGGGAGGUAAGCAGCUCUCCCAAGGUCACCCAGCCGGACAGUGGGAAGCCAGGACCAGCAACCCAGGUCUUCACUGGGGCCGGCAGUGACCAAAUGCAUUGUUACGUGGAUGAAUAUGUGACAACGAAUUCCACUGAUGUGUGGGAUAAUUAUACAAUUAUCAUGCACUGAUGAAAACAUGGGGGAAAAUAGAUAAAAAUGAGUAGAGUCCAAACAAAGAAAGAGAAAA